CCUACGGGAGGCAGCAGUGAGGAAUAUUGGUCAAUGGACGCAAGUCUGAACCAGCCAUGCCGCGUGCAGGAAGACGGCUCUAUGAGUUGUAAACUGCUGUUGUACGAGGGUAAACGCGGAUACGCGUAUCUGUCUGAAAGUAUCGUACGAAUAAGGAUCGGCUAACUCCGUGCCAGCAGCCGCGGUAAUACGGAGGAUUCAAGCGUUAUCCGGAUUUAUUGGGUUUAAAGGGUGCGUAGGCGGUCGGAUAAGUUAGAGGUGAAAUCCCGAGGCUCAACUUCGGAAUUGCCUCUGAUACUGUUCGGCUAGAGAGUAGUUGCGGUAGGCGGAAUGUAUGGUGUAGCGGGGAAAUGCUUAGAGAUCAUACAGAACACCGAUUGCGAAGGCAGCUUACCAAGCUACUUCUGACGUUGAGGCACGAAAGCGUGGGGAGCAAACAGGAUUAGAUACCCCAGUAGUC
RNAcentral lists this ribosomal RNA (460 nucleotides) under uncultured bacterium. RNAcentral's name for it is "partial 16S ribosomal RNA". It matches the Rfam family "Bacterial small subunit ribosomal RNA", at positions 338 to 795 of the family's 1533-position model. The record is from RNAcentral.